This is a non-coding RNA of Dermacentor andersoni, 1667 nucleotides long. The record is from RefSeq and is a predicted model, not a curated record. Lineage: Eukaryota; Metazoa; Arthropoda; Arachnida; Ixodida; Ixodidae.
ACAGCGGUGAAGAGGCUAAUAUGGCAACGCCCAGGCAGCUCCAUAGAGCAAAGUGCACGACCGACGCGAUAGAAAGGUCCAACAAGUUUCUCGUGCCUGCUUUCCUCUCCGCCAAGCUCCUGCCAUGUAUAUACAUGCUCUGAACCACCUUCGACGCGGCGUGCAAGACAACCACGGCAGCAGAAGCAGCAGCGGAGAGAAAGUGAAAGCAAGAGGGAAAGAAAGGUUUCACUUUAAAGGUCAUCUCGGUUGACUGACGGAUAUUCAAGAAAUUGCCCGAACUGCCUGACCCUUGUAUUUUCCAAUAUAUUGCAAGGUCCUGUUCAUCAUAUAUCUUCAGAAUAUGCAUGGAGUAAAUUGAAGUGCCUAGACCUCAAAUUGAAGAGGAGCACAGGUUUCAUGCUACAGAAAAUGGGGCCCAAGAGCGAUUUCUCUUCCGAGGAAUUAAGUGGCGAGUAAAGAUUCCUACUCACUGCUUCAUCGUUCGUUGUGCUGUGACAGGCACUGUUACACACAAAGUUAAUGGAAACAAAAAAAAACGCGACAAAUAAAGCGUAGACUGUGUGCUGAAUUUGAUGAACAAGAAUGGUGAACUCAGCUGCUGUCACCAGCUCCAGGUUAGAUGUGGUAAAAGUGCAGAAAAAGAUAAUCAGAAUGAAUCAGAACUGUCAAGGUGACCAACUUGAACCGUAUCGAGGCGAUAUGCUAGAAAUUGUGUUUGAUGAUGAGUUCUGACACACACGGUCACUCACGCAGGCUUCAAUACCAGACGCCACGUUGCAGAAUGCUCCCAUAUCUCUCGUCACGUUACGCUUGCUUCUGAGCAGGAUUUCCGCGCUGUCAAAAGAUUGUGAGCAACUGAAUCUCGUGCAGGGCGCAUCCAAGUUGCCCGGUGCAUUUAUUAGCCUGAGAGCAUAUCUGGGAUCCCUGAGUCCUGAUUCCAGCACCGGCCGGUUUGUGCCAUGUAAGCGCAGUUGCAUGUGCCCGGUGCCCUUUAAAUGACCCCCUCUUUUACGUGACAUGUGCGCAAAUUCGUCAUGUGCGAAGAGGCAGUCGUUUACAACAUACUGGUCACCAGCAAUCAUGCUUACCUUGAAUAAAUGGGCUGGUGCUUAAAUCAGAGACUCUGGGAACACACGUAUGCCCUCGGCCUAGUAAAUGCACCACAUAACUUGGCUCUGCACUGCACUAGAUGCGGUUGCACACAGUAUUUUGAGAGGACAAAAGACAUGCUCAGAAAGAAGCGUAAUGGUACGAGAGAGAUAUGGAAAGCAUCUUGUGUGGUUGUGGAUGUUGCUGAAACCUACAUGAGCGAGUCAUCUGUGUCGCGACCUCAUCAAGUGAGUCGCCUUUUCGGUUCUGAUUGAUUCCAAGUUUCUUUUCUCCGUUUGUUUUGUGCAUUCAACUUUCAGUUGAUACUAGCGGCUCUUAGUAUAAAUCCUUCUUAUUCAUUAAACUCGGCUGACAGUUCGAGCUUCUCUUGUGUGUUUUAAUUUCCCCUAAAUUCGUGUGUCACAACGAAACAAACAAUGAAGCUACACUAACUAGAGCCUUUUUUAAGCUUUGCAUACAUUCCUUGUCCAACACUUCAUUCCACGGAAGAGAUAUUUUUCGUUCAAGUUAGCCAGCCAUGAAGAGACAAGUAAAGAGACAAAUAAACAGCGCAA